ACCUAUAAAAAAACAAAAUAAAAAGUCUGGCAAAAAGGCAUAACAUAAAACAUACUCGCAGGCUUCUACUAUCAUCUUCAUACAACCCUCUUAUUGUUAGCCCUUCAUACAAAGAUGCUUGCUGUUUAAUAUAGAUGCUUGUUGUUUAGAUCUUAGAUGCUUGCUACUUGCUGUUUUAGCCCUUCAUUGUCACUAAAGUAAGGAGGAUUCAAAUGAAGUUGAUUUUGAUCGAGCUAAAAUGUGGAAGAAAGCUCGAGUUAAUAAACAAGGAGAGUACGACAACAACGACGUUCAGCAAGUCGUUCAUAAAAUCAUUGGCUCUGCUGUUGGUGGUACUUAUUUUAGCUCAUGAAUUGGAGGUAGUAGAGGAUGCAGAAUGCAAGUUUAUUUGGAGCCAAGUUUCAUUCAAGGUCAUUGAGUUGGGUUGAUAGAAGUAAUGUUUUGUAUAUGACAAUAUCGAACAAAUAUGUAAAGUUUUCGAAAUGUUGAUACAUAUAUGGUAAAAUGUUAAUAUAUGUUUAAAGUUUUGGAA
This is a long non-coding RNA of Cucumis melo (muskmelon), 532 nucleotides long. RefSeq lists it as uncharacterized. NCBI's taxonomy places the organism in Eukaryota, Viridiplantae, Streptophyta, Magnoliopsida, Cucurbitales, Cucurbitaceae. The transcript is spliced from 3 exons. The record is from RefSeq and is a predicted model, not a curated record.